UACGUAGGGUGCAAGCGUUAAUCGGAAUUACUGGGCGUAAAGCGUGCGCAGGCGGUUAUGCAAGACAGAUGUGAAAUCCCCGGGCUCAACCUGGGAACUGCAUUUGUGACUGCAUGGCUGGAGUGCGGCAGAGGGGGAUGGAAUUCCGCGUGUAGCAGUGAAAUGCGUAGAUAUGCGGAGGAACACCGAUGGCGAAGGCAAUCCCCUGGGCCUGCACUGACGCUCAUGCACGAAAGCGUGGGGAGCAAACAGG
Molecule: ribosomal RNA, 253 nt
Filed under: uncultured bacterium
Lineage: Bacteria
Description: partial 16S ribosomal RNA
Rfam family: Bacterial small subunit ribosomal RNA
Source: RNAcentral